GAAGGCAUAUAUUCGCUUACGGUCAAACGAGCAGCGGAAUACCCGAUGACUGUAAUUACCGAGUAUAGCAUGAUGGACAUCUAUCACUAUAUAGAGAAGCACCCUAAAAGAGAAUUCAUGCUAAAAUUUUCGGCAAUAGAGAUAUACAAUGAAGCUGUGAGAGAUCUUCUGAGCCAUGAUACGACAUUUCUUAGACUGCUUGAUGAUCCGGAGAAAGGGGCUACUGUCAAAAAACUCAUCGAGGAAACACUGAAGGACAAGGACCAUCUUAAGGAUCCAUCUUCUUUCUUUUUGUUACUUGCCUAAUUAAGAUUGAGGAAACAACUUUGAAUGAAGCGAGUUCUAGGUCCCAUCAAAUACUCAGGCUGGUUGGUGCCCCUAUUGUACUAUAUGUUAAUUCCAGACAAUCGAAAGUUCAAUUGGAUAGUAUUUCGGAAGAGGCAAAUCAAGCACUCUUGUGUCUUGUGUGGUAUGGAAUUUCUUUCUCUAUUCAUGAUUUUUUUUCUUCUUUUGUUGGUAUAUAUUCAUGAUUGUUUGGUAUAACAUGUUCCAUGGUCACUAAGGUUCUUCUGGACAGAAUUCUGUUGACCUAGCAGGAAGUGAGCGUGCAUCUUAGACUGCUUCAGCUGGCAUGAGGUUGAAAGAAGGUAGUCAUAUUAAUUCAAGUCUGCUAACAAUGGGAAAGGUUGUUCGCCAACUUAGGUAUGUUUCCUCGCAAGAGCUUGUAGUGCCAGUGGUUUGCUUAUUUAUAAAUGUAUUCGGGUAUUUUGCACCUACAGUUCCUCUUUCUUUGGUAGUAUUCACUAGGUAAAAUAAUUCUGAAUUCCAUAUGGUGUUACAGUUCGACACUUCUCCUUUAAGCCCAUUUGCAUGCUCUUCUGCCAAUGGCCAUAGUUUUACCGUAUAACGUAAUCUGAAGUAUUAUGUUCCUUCUGCGGCAAGGGAAGAAGUGGUCAUAUCCCUUACAGAGAUUCAAAGCUGACACGCAUAUUACACUCCUCUUUGGGAGGGAAUGUAAGAACAACCAUUGUCUGGACAAUCAGCCCUGCACACUCAUAUUGAGCAAUCCAGGAAUACACUUCUUUUUGCUACUUGCGCGAAGGAGGUAGUUACAAAUGCAAAGGUAAAUGUAGUCAUGUCUGACAAGGCAGUACUGAAACACAUCUACAGAGAGAGCAUGCAAGAUUAGAUAAUGAACUGAAAGUGCAGGCUGCACAAGUCAUGCUGAAGCUUUGAGAGAGAAGGAUGCACAAAUUAAAAAGGUAAUUUCCAUCACCUAAAAUUUCGCUGCUCACCAAAGAUCAAUUCAACGGUGACAGGUUUCUCGAUUUUUUUGGAAAAUAUAUGCAUCUAAUUCAGUCUAUUCAGUGGUGACACCAUGAGAACUUUCUUCAAUUCAAUCACAUUGGGCGACCGCAGGAAAUCCGCGGAACUGCAGAAAUUAAAAGGUGGUUUUGACUGUCAUUUGGGUGACUUUCCUGCAGAUGUUCUAUCAAAUUCUUGUAGAACCCAGCAUGAGUACAUGGGUGAAAAUCAGGUCUACUAUUUUUCAGUGGGAAUUUACCAUGAAAGCAGAAGGUACUGCAUGUGUUAUGAGAGUGUCAAGCAAGGGUGUAUUUCUGAAUAUUUGCUUUCCUUCAUAAUUCACCAAGGGGGAUAUCUCUUUAUUUUAUUCUUAAAUAUUAUGUACGAGAGAUUGAGUGAAGGAAUUGGCUUCCAGGGACCAAUAACUACACUGAGAUUCUGGCACUCCUUACGGCAUAGAAACAUUCAGAUUAGACAGUUGUUUAGCUAUUGGUACCCAGUCACUCUUGUUCCCAUAUUACUCUUUUCGUGGAUGUUUCUCAUUUUGAACUUUCUCUUUUCUCUUAUUUCUGUGUUGGCCUUAAGUCAGCUCCAGGAGAGAAACAAGACAGUAUAAAGCCAUUUGGAUUGGUCUAC
This is a non-coding RNA of Lolium perenne, 1941 nucleotides long. NCBI's taxonomy places the organism in Eukaryota, Viridiplantae, Streptophyta, Magnoliopsida, Poales, Poaceae. The record is from RefSeq and is a predicted model, not a curated record.